Molecule: ribosomal RNA, 469 nt
Filed under: uncultured bacterium
Lineage: Bacteria
Description: partial 16S ribosomal RNA
Rfam family: Bacterial small subunit ribosomal RNA
Source: RNAcentral
GACGAACGCUGGCGGCGUGCUUAACACAUGCAAGUCGAACGGAAAGGCCCUGCUUUUGUGGGGUGCUCGAGUGGCGAACGGGUGAGUAACACGUGAGUAACCUGCCCUUGACUUUGGGAUAACUUCAGGAAACUGGGGCUAAUACCGGAUAGGAGCUCCUGCUGCAUGGUGGGGGUUGGAAAGUUUCGGCGGUUGGGGAUGGACUCGCGGGUUAGCAGCUGGUUGGUGGGGUAGUGGCUUACCCAGGCUUUGACGGGUAGCCGGCCUGAGAGGGUGGCCGGCCACCAUGGGGCGGAGAGAGGGGCCAGACGCCUACGGGAGGCAGCAGGGGGGAAGAGUGGAGAAUGGGGGGCAGCCGGAUGCAGCGACGCCGGGGGGGGGAGGAAGGCCUUCGGGUUGUAAACUCCUUUGGCUAGGGACGAAGCGUUUUGUGACGGGACCUAGAGAAGAAGCACCGGCUAACUACGUG